ACUCCUACGGGAGGCAGCAGUGGGGAAUAUUGCACAAUGGGCGCAAGCCUGAUGCAGCAACGCCGUGUGAGUGAAGAAGGUUUUCGGAUCGUAAAACUCUGUCCUAAGGGAAGAAACAAAUGACGGUACCUUAGGAGGAAGCCCCGGCUAACUACGUGCCAGCAGCCGCGGUAAUACGUAGGGGGCAAGCGUUAUCCGGAAUCACUGGGCGUAAAGGGUGCGUAGGCGGCUUAGCAAGCCAGGGGUGAAAGGCAUUGGCUCAACCAAUGUAAGCCUUUGGAACUGUUAAGCUUGAGUGCAGGAGAGGUAAGUGGAAUUCCUAGUGUAGAGGUGAAAUUCGUAGAUAUUAGGAGGAACACCGAGUGGCGAAGGCGACUUACUGGACUGUAACUGACGCUGAUGACACGAAAGCGUGGGUAGCGAACAGGAUUAGAUACCCUGGUAGGACAGAG
This 452-nucleotide ribosomal RNA is filed under the name uncultured bacterium. Its description in RNAcentral is "bacterial SSU rRNA". It matches the Rfam family "Bacterial small subunit ribosomal RNA", at positions 335 to 799 of the family's 1533-position model. The record is from RNAcentral.